Molecule: long non-coding RNA, 725 nt
Organism: Cygnus atratus (black swan)
Lineage: Eukaryota; Metazoa; Chordata; Aves; Anseriformes; Anatidae
Exons: 3
Source: RefSeq, a predicted model, not a curated record
CUUUCCACGUUAUCCCGAGUCUCUGUCCUUCCUGACUUUGGCACCGCAACCGAAUGCUGUGUGAGCCCUCCAGCCUGGAAAGCCUUGACCCCAGUGGAAAUUCUGCUUUAAUUUUGGUGGGUCUGCAGUGCUGCCAACUGUGGGACUGGAGCGUGCUUAUCUCGUAGCUAAUUACUGCCCUUCUGAAAUGGAACCACGAGCUUCUCAGCUUUGUAACCGUUUCGAUGCCUGUGUACAGAUUUACCAGCAAAGGGGAGCGCAGGUGCUCGUCUGUUGGGCUGGGAGUGCCGAGGAGCACCAGGGCAGAGCGCCUUUUGAGAAUGCUCCGCUGCAGCCUGGAAAUAGGAGGCAAAGUACAUCUUCUGAAGAGAAAUCUGGCUGACAGUGCACACAGAAAUGUUUCAAAGAGCAGCACGCUGUAGUUAUGCAGCCAUCUGCUGCUCCCAGGGGCUUUGGGAGUGAAAACUGCAGUUGGGCAACAUCUACAGCAAUUUCUGUUGCAAAAUGCAUCGUUGCAGGGAGUGCGCAGGCAGACGGGUUUGCUGCGUUUGAAAACAGCAAGCUACACCCUUCAACGUCCUUGCAUGUGGAGCUUAACUUCAUUGCUGCCCCUCCAGAGAGCAAGCCCAGAGCUCGUUUGGGCAGCUCCAAGCUGCAGCUCCGUGAAGCUCAGCUGUGACAAAUCCAUCUGCUGCCGCCUCAUUGGGAAAGUAUUGCUUGUGCAC